UGGGGAAUAUUGCACAAUGGGGGGAACCCUGAUGCAGCGACGCCGCGUGAAGGAAGAAGUAUUUCGGUAUGUAAACUUCUAUCAGCAGGGAAGAAAAUGACGGUACCUGACUGAGAAGCCCCGGCUAACUACGUGCCAGCAGCCGCGGUAAUACGUAGGGGGCAAGCGUUAUCCGGAUUUACUGGGUGUAAAGGGAGCGUAGGCGGUUUAGCAAGUCAGAAGUGAAAGCCCGCAGCUCAACUGGGGGACUGCUUUUGAAACUGUUAAACUAGAUUGCAGGAGAGGUAAGUGGAAUUCCUAGUGUAGCGGUGAAAUGCGUAGAUAUUAGGAGGAACACCAGUGGCGAAGGCGGCUUACUGGACUGUAAAUGACGCUGAGGCUCGAAAGCGUGGGGAGCAAACAGGAUUAGAUACCC
Molecule: ribosomal RNA, 415 nt
Filed under: uncultured bacterium
Lineage: Bacteria
Description: bacterial SSU rRNA
Rfam family: Bacterial small subunit ribosomal RNA
Source: RNAcentral